This 530-nucleotide ribosomal RNA is filed under the name Haloferax volcanii. RNAcentral describes it as "bacterial SSU rRNA". It matches the Rfam family "Archaeal small subunit ribosomal RNA", at positions 1 to 532 of the family's 1478-position model. Lineage: Archaea; Methanobacteriati; Methanobacteriota; Halobacteria; Halobacteriales; Haloferacaceae. The record is from RNAcentral.
AUUCCGGUUGAUCCUGCCGGAGGUCAUUGCUAUUGGGGUCCGAUUUAGCCAUGCUAGUUGCACGAGUUCACACUCGUGGCGAAAAGCUCAGUAACACGUGGCCAAACUACCCUACAGAGAACGAUAACCUCGGGAAACUGAGGCUAAUAGUUCAUACGGGAGUCAUGCUGGAAUGCCGACUCUCCGAAACGCUCAGGCGCUGUAGGAUGUGGCUGCGGCCGAUUAGGUAGACGGUGGGGUAACGGCCCACCGUGCCGAUAAUCGGUACGGGUUGUGAGAGCAAGAGCCCGGAGACGGAAUCUGAGACAAGAUUCCGGGCCCUACGGGGCGCAGCAGGCGCGAAACCUUUACACUGCACGCAAGUGCGAUAAGGGGACCCCAAGUGCGAGGGCAUAUAGUCCUCGCUUUUCUCGACUGUAAGGCGGUCGAGGAAUAAGAGCUGGGCAAGACCGGUGCCAGCCGCCGCGGUAAUACCGGCAGCUCAAGUGAUGACCGAUAUUAUUGGGCCUAAAGCGUCCGUAGCCGGCCAU